ACAAGAGGUAUCAAUCAAGUGUCGAGCCUCAGUAUACACCAAUCAGUCCCUGAAUCAUACAAAGAAUUUUGAACACACACACACACACACUCUUCAUUCCUAUGGUUUGUGUUUCAAGUUUCAUCUGUGUUACCAGGAAAGCUAGGGUGGAGCCUGCGGGGACUUACCCAUGGUAAUAAUAUUGAGGUGGAGUAAAACAUGGACUCGGCAGGAUUGAGUUUGUGGAUCUUGUUUGAAAGAUGGUGGUUGAUGGAAAGGUAGCUGAAAUUGAGAAUCCUGAUGAUGCUGCGGCCGAGAAUGGUGGGACUGGGGCAGUAUUCACCUGACCAUGCGUUUGCCACGCCCAAUUGGGGAGUCCUUUUGAAGGAUCUAUGCUAAUACCCUCUGCUCCUUCCUGCUAAAUAGUUUAACAAUCUUUUACUGUCUUACAAUGAUUAUCUCAUACAAGAAAACAUGUCAUCAUAUAUUUCUUUCAAUGCGCAAACAAACAUUGUUCCAAAAGCUCAUUGAUAAAAAUUCAUUAGUAAAUCCCUAAACAUAAAAUUAACUUUCACUGUUAUGUAUGGCAUUCUAAUGUCAAGCAUUCUUCAGUGUUCUAAUGAUGGCACACUAGCAGGGAAAUCAUUGUAGUAAAGGUUUUUAAUGAAGUGCUCAAAAAAAGAAACAAGCAAACAAAUCAACUCUAGCUGAAAACUAACACUAGAUGGUGAAAUCACC
RNAcentral lists this long non-coding RNA (717 nucleotides) under Lotus japonicus. RNAcentral describes it as "long non-coding RNA (LJAP_LNC001700)". Lineage: Eukaryota; Viridiplantae; Streptophyta; Magnoliopsida; Fabales; Fabaceae. The record is from RNAcentral.